This 386-nucleotide ribosomal RNA is filed under the name uncultured bacterium. RNAcentral's name for it is "bacterial SSU rRNA". It matches the Rfam family "Bacterial small subunit ribosomal RNA", at positions 30 to 416 of the family's 1533-position model. The record is from RNAcentral.
AUUGAACGCUGGCGGCAUGCCUUACACAUGCAAGUCGAACGGCAGCACGGGAGCAAUCCUGGUGGCGAGUGGCGAACGGGUGAGUAAUGUAUCGGAACGUACCUUUCAGUGGGGGAUAACGUAGCGAAAGUUACGCUAAUACCGCAUAUUCUGUGAGCAGGAAAGCAGGGGGUCGCAAGACCUUGCGCUGAUUGAGCGGCCGAUAUCAGAUUAGCUAGUUGGUGAGGUAAAGGCUCACCAAGGCGACGAUCUGUAGCGGGUCUGAGAGGAUGAUCCGCCACACUGGAACUGAGACACGGUCCAGACUCCUACGGGAGGCAGCAGUGGGGAAUUUUGGACAAUGGGCGCAAGCCUGAUCCAGCCAUGCCGCGUGAGUGAAGAAGGCC